UGGGGAAUAUUGGACAAUGGGCGAAAGCCUGAUCCAGCCAUGCCGCGUGAGUGACGAAGGCCUUAGGGUUGUAAAACUCUUUCGUCGGGGACGAUAAUGACGGUACCCGAAGAAGAAGCUCCGGCUAACUUCGUGCCAGCAGCCGCGGUAAUACGAAGGGAGCUAGCGUUGUUCGGAAUUACUGGGCGUAAAGGGUGCGCAGGCGGCCGCGCAAGUCAGGUGUGAAAUCCCCGGGCUUAACCUGGGAAUUGCGCUUGAAACUAUGCGGCUGGAGUGUGGCAGAGGGGGGUGGAAUUCCACGUGUAGCAGUGAAAUGCGUAGAGAUGUGGAGGAACACCGAUGGCGAAGGCAGCCCCCUGGGCCAACACUGACGCUCAGGCACGAAAGCGUGGGGAGCAAACAGGAUUAGAUACCCUGGUAGUCCCUGAGCGGGCUGGCAAGGCGCAU
Molecule: ribosomal RNA, 447 nt
Filed under: uncultured bacterium
Lineage: Bacteria
Description: bacterial SSU rRNA
Rfam family: Bacterial small subunit ribosomal RNA
Source: RNAcentral